GAAAGUCCUUGACAAAAUAUCUUGGUAAGACUUUUCUAAAUGACAGAGAAAUAUGCAGAUAUAAAACACCAACUUUCAGAAAGUAAAUAGGAAGAAUUCAAAUCAUUGAAAUGCUCAAAAAAGUCAUAUCUGAUCACUACUUAUUAUAGUUGAUAAGGAACCAAUGAUAACCGAUCAACAAUGGGAAGAGGAUGAAGGUAGAACUACAUAACAGCAUUAGAUGCCAG
This 227-nucleotide unclassified non-coding RNA is filed under the name Hevea brasiliensis (rubber tree). The record is from RNAcentral. Lineage: Eukaryota; Viridiplantae; Streptophyta; Magnoliopsida; Malpighiales; Euphorbiaceae.